This 497-nucleotide ribosomal RNA is filed under the name uncultured bacterium. RNAcentral describes it as "partial 16S ribosomal RNA". It matches the Rfam family "Bacterial small subunit ribosomal RNA", at positions 28 to 507 of the family's 1533-position model. The record is from RNAcentral.
GAUGAACGCUGGCGGCGUGCCUAAUACAUGCAAGUCGAGCGAACAGACGAGGCGCUUGCUCGGCUGACGUUAGCGGAGGACGGGUGAGAAACACGUGGAUCCCCUACCUGUAAGACUGGGAUCACUUCGGGAAACCGGCGCUAAUACCGGAUAACAUGCUGCACCGCAUGGGUCGACGGUGAGAGACGGUCUUGCUGUCACUACUAGCUGGAUACGCGCCGGAUUGGCUAGUUGGGAAGGUAAAGGCCUACCAAGGGAACGAUGCGUGUGCGACCUGUUGGGGGGGUCGCCCACACUGGAGCGGAGCCGCGGACCAGACGCCUGCGGGAGGCCGCAGUAGGGUAUCUUCCGCAGUGGGCGAAAGCCUUGCGCAGCAGCGCCGCGUGAGUGAAGACGGUCUUCCGAUCGUAAUACCCUGUUUUUAGUGGAGAACAAAUUUGGAAUUUACUAUGCACGUCUUGACGGUACCGAAUCAGAAAGCCACGGCUAACUACGUG